ACAAAUAAGAAGAAAGUAAUCUAAGUAACUGAAGACUGUUUGACAUCUGCGUACCAACAUUCAACCUUUACCUAUGAUGAUGUCCUGAUUAAAUAGUCUUUUCUCAACUCUAACAUAUUUUAAGUAAUUGACAAAAAUAUAUAAAAGAUGUUUGAAGUCAUUAAUCUUUUAAUUAUAUUUCUCAUUUUUACUUCUUCAGCCCAAAAGAAAGCAAGACUGCCACAGAGAGUGAAGAAGCAGAUAUUUAUGCUGUGCCACAAAAGAAGAGAACCAGAACAUCGGAUUCAGUCAUUGAAUGUGUCUCUUAUGUGGACCAGCCUCCGUUGACCUAUGCAGACAUCACAUUGAAGAGGGAACCCAGGAACAGCAAUCUGACAAACAAAGAAAAAUUGAUCUAUCAGCAAUUACCAUCAACAGAAGACUGCAUUUUAAGCAGACAUACUGAACCAGAUGAGCCUGUGUCCACCAUUUACAGUGUUGCCAGAAUGCCAUCACAGUAGAGCAAUACAACAAUG
This is a long non-coding RNA of Erpetoichthys calabaricus (reedfish), 515 nucleotides long. RefSeq lists it as uncharacterized. Lineage: Eukaryota; Metazoa; Chordata; Cladistia; Polypteriformes; Polypteridae. The transcript has 4 exons. The record is from RefSeq and is a predicted model, not a curated record.